AGGUUUGUUUGAGGGAAUUUGGGGCUUCCAGUUCACGCAUGCGGUCAAGAACUUCGCCGGAGAGAGUCAUCGCUUCCGAAAUCUGAAUUCGUCGUCCACAUCGAAGAAUUCCAAGGAUUGGUUUCACCACCUUACACAUUGACUUCAUGUUCGGAUUCAAUCGUUGAACCGAAUUCAUCUAUUUAUGUGCGCGUGGAUUAACGAGAUCGAGAUCGAAGGAAGAAGGGAACCUACCUGUUCGUUCCGACGCGGCUGAUAAAGAGGGAUGCGUUCCGUUGCGUUGAAGAUGAAGAACCGAGCAAUGAGAUAUUAUGGUAGAUGACGAAGAUUGAAGCUUUUUCCUUCGAACAAGGUUUUCUGUUUUGUGGCUUUUUGUUGGUUGGUGGUUAUAGCAGAGGGAGCGAAGAAUGGUGGUUGAGUGGUAGUGAUUGGAGGUUAUGCGUUAGAUGCAAGCGAGGCUCGGUGAGGAUGAAGAUUGAAGAAUUGCAGAAUGGAGUUUUGUUGAAGGUGAUGAAAAAUGGAGUCUGAGAUUGAUGGUGGAUGGAGAAGAUGGAAGAAAAACAAGCCAAAAAAAAAUCUGAACCGUGAAGGUUCAGUUAGAUGCGAGGGAAGAAGUUAAUUGAGCAAACGAUUUUUCCGGUUGGAGUUGAGCCCAGUUAGUGCAAUGGUUGCGUUUGCUGCAGCAGGCUUAUACGUUCGCGACGCUUGCUGCUGUUGGCUUCUGAAUUGUUGUUGCAGCUUUUGGAAGCUUGUUCACACGUUAAUGCUUUGCAUGUCAUGUUGUAACCCUGCAUUUGCAGCUUUUCCAAUGUAUUCUUUGAUAUGGCUUUUUUUCCUUUAUUUUCUUUAUGUAGAAUGUCAUUGGUUAAUGGUUUGGGUAAUUGAAAAAAACUGGACAUGGCUUAUUGGA
This is a long non-coding RNA of Lathyrus oleraceus (garden pea), 910 nucleotides long. RefSeq lists it as uncharacterized. The record is from RefSeq and is a predicted model, not a curated record. NCBI's taxonomy places the organism in Eukaryota, Viridiplantae, Streptophyta, Magnoliopsida, Fabales, Fabaceae. The transcript is spliced from 3 exons.